AUUGAACGCUGGCGGCAGGCUUAACACAUGCAAGUCGAGCGGAGAUGAGGUGCUUGCACCUUAUCUUAGCGGCGGACGGGUGAGUAAUGCUUAUGAAUCUGCCUAUUAGUGGGGGACAACAUUCCGAAAGGAAUGCUAAUACCGCAUACGUCCUACGGGAGAAAGCAGGGGAUCUUCGGACCUUGCGCUAAUAGAUGAGCCUAAGUCGGAUUAGCUAGUUGGUGGGGUAAAGGCCUACCAAGGCGACGAUCGGUAGCGGGUCUGAGAGGAUGAUCCGACACACUGGGACUGGGACACGGCCCAGACUCCUACGGGAGGCAGCAGUGGGGAAUUUUGGACAAUGGGGGGAACCCUGAUCCAGCCAUGCCGCGUGUGUGAAGAAGGCCUUAUGGUUGUAAAGCACUUUAAGCGAGGAGGAGGCUACUGAGACUAAUACUCUUGGAUAGUGGACGUUACUCGCAGAAUAAGCACCGGCUAACUCUGUGCCAGCCGCCGCCGUAA
This 501-nucleotide ribosomal RNA is filed under the name uncultured bacterium. RNAcentral describes it as "partial 16S ribosomal RNA". It matches the Rfam family "Bacterial small subunit ribosomal RNA", at positions 30 to 523 of the family's 1533-position model. The record is from RNAcentral.